UGCUAUUUUGCAGGUCAUAUUGAAGGGAAAAGAUGUUCGUCUGAUGAUGAUUGCAUUCCUGGAGCCUGUGCAGAAGGGUACGAUCAUUGUAUGGGUCAACUUGGAGGGAAAAUAUGUUCAUCUGAUGACGAUUGCGGUGCUAGAGUCUGUAUACCAGGGUGCGAUCAUUGUAUAGGUGGGCAUUAACAGUGUUAUCAAAUGAUCACUACUUAAUAAUUUGUCGGCAUGAUCAAUUUGCCCAAUUGCUCAUUCAUCAAUGAAAAUCUUAUUGAGGCGGGUUGCCCAUUUCACCUGUAGUAUAUUCAACUAUGUCGACUUUGAAAUAAAUGAAACAUGCUUUGUGUUGAAUUAGAAAAAUGUAAA
Long non-coding RNA from Sitodiplosis mosellana (orange wheat blossom midge), 363 nucleotides. RefSeq lists it as uncharacterized. The record is from RefSeq and is a predicted model, not a curated record. NCBI's taxonomy places the organism in Eukaryota, Metazoa, Arthropoda, Insecta, Diptera, Cecidomyiidae. The transcript is spliced from 2 exons.